AGAGUUUGAUCAUGGCUCAGGAUGAACGCUAGCUACAGGCUUAACACAUGCAAGUCGAGGGGGAAACGACAUCGAAAGCUUGCUUUUGAUGGGCGUCGACCGGCGCACGGGUGAGUAACGCGUAUCCAACCUGCCCAUCACUUGGGGGAUAACCUUGCGAAAGUAAGACUAAUACCCAAUGACGUCUCUAGAAGGCAUCUGAAAGAGAUUAAAGAUUUAUCGGUGAUGGAUGGGGAUGCGUCUGAUUAGCUUGUUGGCGGGGUAACGGCCACCAAGGCGACGAUCAGUAGGGGUUCUGAGAGGAGGUCCCCACAUUGGAACUGAGACACGGUCCAAACUCCUACGGGAGGCA
This 352-nucleotide ribosomal RNA is filed under the name uncultured bacterium. RNAcentral's name for it is "bacterial SSU rRNA". It matches the Rfam family "Bacterial small subunit ribosomal RNA", at positions 8 to 350 of the family's 1533-position model. The record is from RNAcentral.